RNAcentral lists this ribosomal RNA (468 nucleotides) under uncultured bacterium. RNAcentral's name for it is "partial 16S ribosomal RNA". It matches the Rfam family "Bacterial small subunit ribosomal RNA", at positions 28 to 506 of the family's 1533-position model. The record is from RNAcentral.
GACGAACGCUGGCGGCGUGCUUAACACAUGCAAGUCGAACGGAAAGGCCCUGCUUGCAGGGUGCUCGAGUGGCGAACGGGUGAGUGACACGUGGGUGAUCUGCCCCUUACUUUGGGAUAAGCCUGGGAAACUGGGUCUAAUACUGGAUAGGACCAUGCUGUAGGUGGUGUGGUGGAAAGAUUAGUUUCGGUAAGGGAUGAGCUCGCGGCCUAUCAGCUUGUUGGUGGGGUAAUGGCCUACCAAGGCGUCGACGGGUAGCCGGCCUGAGAGGGUGGACGGCCACAUUGGGACUGAGAUACGGCCCAGACUCCUACGGGAGGCAGCAGUGGGGAAUAUUGCACAAUGGGCGCAAGCCUGAUGCAGCGACGCCGCGUGGGGGAUGACGGCCUUCGGGUUGUAAACUCCUUUCAGCCAUGACGAAGCCCUUGUGGUGACGGUAGUGGUAGAAGAAGCACCGGCUAACUACGU